This 432-nucleotide ribosomal RNA is filed under the name uncultured bacterium. Its description in RNAcentral is "partial 16S ribosomal RNA". It matches the Rfam family "Bacterial small subunit ribosomal RNA", at positions 29 to 504 of the family's 1533-position model. The record is from RNAcentral.
AACGAACGCUGGCGGCAUGCCUAACACAUGCAAGUCGAACGAGACCUUCGGGUCUAGUGGCGCACGGGUGCGUAACGCGUGGGAACCUGCCCUUAGGUUCGGAAUAACUCCCCGAAAGGGGUGCUAAUACCGGAUAAUGUCUUCGGACCAAAGAUUUAUCGCCUUUGGAUGGGCCCGCGUUGGAUUAGCUAGUUGGUAGGGUAAAAGCCUACCAAGGCGACGAUCCAUAGCUGGUCUGAGAGGAUGAUCAGCCACACUGGGACUGAGACACGGCCCAGACACCCCAGGGAGGGGGAGGGGGGGGAAAUUUGGGACAGUGGGAAAACCCGUGACCCAGCAAGGCCGGGAGGGUGAUGAGGGUUGUGGGUGUAUAAAGCUUUUUUACCGGGGAUGAAAGAGAGAGUCGGGGGAGAAAGGGCCGGGGAUAACUCC